Molecule: long non-coding RNA, 386 nt
Filed under: Homo sapiens (human)
Lineage: Eukaryota; Metazoa; Chordata; Mammalia; Primates; Hominidae
Description: HSALNT0196474
Source: RNAcentral
AGCAUCUCCAGGAUCCUCAGGUUCGUCCCAGGAGGAUAAGCAGCCUGUGAGUCGGUGCUGUCCCUGGCUAACGGCUUUCCUGGGCUGCCUCCACAACCCAGGACCUGCCACACACAAGCAAGGUAUGAACAAAAGAAACAUGCUUCACUUCUGGGCAGAAUCCCCAAGAGCUACCAUGAGGUCCUCCGCUUCUCUUUUCUCCCUACCACAAGACUGACAUGACUCCAAGAGGGACUGCUCCUUUAGCCUGGGUCCCUAGAAUGAAGAUUGAUAUGCAGAAAAACUUCAGCCAGCCUGCAAUGGACUUGUGGGGUACUGGGAACGGGUUGGUGAAUAACACAGGUAAAAUCUCAUCCACCGUGGAGUUGCCUGCCAAGGUAGAAGAC